This 125-nucleotide small nuclear RNA is filed under the name Triticum dicoccoides. RNAcentral describes it as "snRNA U2". It matches the Rfam family "U2 spliceosomal RNA". Rfam says of the family: U2 is a small nuclear RNA (snRNA) component of the spliceosome (involved in pre-mRNA splicing). Complementary binding between U2 snRNA (in an area lying towards the 5' end but 3' to hairpin I) and the branchpoint sequence (BPS) of the intron results the bulging out of an unpaired adenosine, on the BPS, which initiates a nucleophilic attack at the intronic 5' splice site, thus starting the first of two transesterification reactions that mediate splicing. The record is from RNAcentral. Lineage: Eukaryota; Viridiplantae; Streptophyta; Magnoliopsida; Poales; Poaceae.
AUACCUUUCUCGGUCUUUUGGCUAAGAUCAAGUGUAGUAUCUGUUCUUAUCAGUUUAAUACCUCGCUCGACGAAGAGGGGACGGAAGGGCAAGGAGGUUACAAAUAGAGGAGCAGGGCAGCAUUU